UACGUAGGGUGCAAGCGUUGUCCGGAAUUAUUGGGCGUAAAGAGCUCGUAGGCGGUGUGUCGCGUCGGCCGUGAAAACCUGCAGCUUAACUGUGGGCUUGCGGUCGAUACGGGCAUCACUGGAGUUCGGCAGGGGAGACUGGAAUUCCUGGUGUAGCGGUGAAAUGCGCAGAUAUCAGGAGGAACACCGGUGGCGAAGGCGGGUCUCUGGGCCGAUGACUGACGCUGAGGAGCGAAAGCGUGGGGAGCGAACAGG
RNAcentral lists this ribosomal RNA (255 nucleotides) under uncultured bacterium. RNAcentral describes it as "partial 16S ribosomal RNA". It matches the Rfam family "Bacterial small subunit ribosomal RNA", at positions 524 to 776 of the family's 1533-position model. The record is from RNAcentral.